Rhipicephalus sanguineus (brown dog tick) is the source of this 1905-nucleotide long non-coding RNA. RefSeq lists it as uncharacterized. The record is from RefSeq and is a predicted model, not a curated record. The transcript is spliced from 2 exons. Lineage: Eukaryota; Metazoa; Arthropoda; Arachnida; Ixodida; Ixodidae.
CUGCUGUUGCAGAUGACACGACAUCACCGUGUUCACUCAGCGUCACGAGAAGCAGUGCGGCUGCAGCCGCUAUUUUUUUUGCCAAAAAAAUGCUUUUCGUAUUCACUUUUGAGAACUCUUACAUCGGUUUCCCAAUUCAGCAGGGACCAAACUGUGAUUGUACACCCCAAAGUAAUUUUUUUUCCAAGUGCUUCAGCUUUCCUUUAAGCAAAGUUUGAGGAUGUGUAAGCACUGCAUAGAAGCAUUGCAAAGCUUUAAAAUUUAUUGCACAACUACAAAUAAGCUACAACGCAAUGACACAAACUGCAUAUCAAUCUUUAUAAUUAGACAUAAAAACAUUCGAACUAGACAUCCAAACAUACACAAAAUGCAAUAAAUAUUUAAAACACUAGCGCAAUCACAUGAAAAGAAUGCACCCUGCAAAUGCCCUUGAACAUGAAUACAAAGUGGAUUUUGUUUGUUGUUUUGCUCAUGAUAGGUGAGAGAGCGUGACAAGCUUUUGGAACAAGACCUUGGUUUUGUGAAUGGAACAAUUUGGUGCAGGUGAUUUUUUUUUUCAGGGUGCAAACUUUUAUUUUGGAGCAGAGGACUAAUCAUGGUGUGGGUGAUUGAAACAAGGUACAUGAAAUCUGCUCUAGCUCCUCCAUUUACACUAAGUUCUGAACUUGUACGCACUUCUGAGGGCAUAGGUGACUUUCAUAUUCUGCUUUCUGGUGUUUACAAGACACAUUGGAAUACUGCAAAUCUAGCUCCCGUAAAGCUGCCCAUAUUUGUCUGCACGCCAUACAGAUUUUUAUAAUUGGCUUUUUGUAAAAGUUGUUAGUAAGACAAUGAGUACAAGAAAUGUCAAAAAUUUUUUGUGUGCUUAUUUGAGUACUAAAAAAUAAACCAAUAGCUUUACAGCACAGAACGGGCCCUUGUGAAUAUGCUUAUGCAAAAAUUGUGACGAACUUAUGUCUAAUUCAUUAAUUAAUUUUGGGAUGACAAUGAGAGAGUAUCAAGUGUUGUAACUCAACAACUACAACAGAUAGCUCAAAACCGACUUCAGUUAUGAUAUCAGCACAACAUAUCACAUCUGCAUGCCAAAUUUCAUCACUUUAUCUCCAUAAAUAACCAAGAUAGUUUUCAUUGCCACGUCCCCCCUUAAGUCAUGUCUCACUGUACGAUUACGAGACUUUGUCAACUAUUCCAUGCACUGCAGUGGACUGUGGGAUUUGGCAAAGAAAGCAUGGUGUACCAGCAGCCAAGUACCUCAGUUCUAUUUCUUGACCGCAGCAACAGGUCGUGUUUGAGAACUUGUCGAAGUUAAACACAAAGCCUCCCAUUACUGCAAAUUUCAUGGAGCACUUGAUUUCGUACACAAGGGACCAAUUAUUACACCCUGUAUUUUAUUAAUCACGCAUGAACCACAACAGCCUCUUUAUUAAGCACAACAGCAGGCACUUAACCAUGCAGUGAAAGCCUAGAUUCUGGAUUGUAAACACAAUGCAUGGAAGAUUUACACAGCUUGUGUUUACUGUACUGUAACUAAAGUGCCGUAAAGAAACUCGGCACUUUCCAUAGAAAAACAAAGAGCAGCAACUUCAUUUCAUCUUCUGGGCUAUUAUUCUAUAGGGAGCUAAAGGCUAAGUAAACGCAGGAAGGUUAACCAGAAGAUAAAUAUCCGGUUUGCUACCAUGCACUAGGAAAGAGACAGUAGCUGCCUUGGCCUCUACAGAUGUCGGCAACAUAUUUUCCUAAACAUGCAUAACAGGUGCAAAUCAUUCCUCCGGACACCGCGCGUUGAUUGUUCCAGAUACAGGGAUAUUGCACAGAAAUGCCUCUGAUGAAAUUUCACGCUCCUUUGAAGACACUGGAAUAUUGCAAGUUAAUAAAGUCAUCAAGUCUGUAAACUGCAAAAGCUUA